UGGGGAAUAUUGCACAAUGGAGGGAACUCUGAUGCAGCGACGCCGCGUGAGUGAUGAAGGAAUUCGUUUCGUAAAACUCUGUUCUAUGGGAAGAAAAGGACUGUACCAUAGGAGAAAGCUCCGGCUAAAUACGUGCCAGCAGCCGCGGUAAUACGUAUGGAGCGAGCGUUGUCCGGAAUUAUUGGGCGUAAAGGGUGUGCAGGCGGCUUUACAAGUUGGAUGUGAAAUAUUGUGGCUCAACCACAAACGUGCAUCCAAAACUGCAAAGCUUGAGUUAAGGAGAGGUAGGUGGAAUUCCUAGUGUAGCGGUGAAAUGCGUAGAUAUCAGGAGGAAUACCGGUGGCGAAAGCGACUUACUGGGCUUAAUCUGACACUCAGGCACGAAAGCGUGGGGAGCAAACAGG
Molecule: ribosomal RNA, 404 nt
Filed under: Fusobacteriota bacterium
Lineage: Bacteria; Fusobacteriati; Fusobacteriota
Description: Fusobacteria bacterium partial 16S ribosomal RNA
Rfam family: Bacterial small subunit ribosomal RNA
Source: RNAcentral